This 253-nucleotide ribosomal RNA is filed under the name uncultured bacterium. RNAcentral describes it as "partial 16S ribosomal RNA". It matches the Rfam family "Bacterial small subunit ribosomal RNA", at positions 524 to 776 of the family's 1533-position model. The record is from RNAcentral.
UACGUAGGGGGCUAGCGUUGUCCGGAUUUAUUGGGCGUAAAGAGCGUGUAGGCGGCCAGGUAGGUCUGCUGUGAAAACUCGAGGCUCAACCUCGAGACGUCGGCGGAAACCAUCUGGCUAGAGUCCGGAAGAGGAGAGUGGAAUUCCUGGUGUAGCGGUGAAAUGCGCAGAUAUCAGGAAGAACACCCGUGGCGAAGGCGGCAUCCUGGACCAACACUGACGCUGAGGAGCGAAAGCCAGGGGAGCAAACGGG